This 460-nucleotide ribosomal RNA is filed under the name uncultured bacterium. RNAcentral describes it as "partial 16S ribosomal RNA". It matches the Rfam family "Bacterial small subunit ribosomal RNA", at positions 338 to 795 of the family's 1533-position model. The record is from RNAcentral.
ACUACGGGAGGCAGCAGUGAGGAAUAUUGGUCAAUGGACGAGAGUCUGAACCAGCCAAGUAGCGUGCAGGAUGACUGCCCUAUGGGUUGUAAACUUCUUUUAUAAAGGAAUAAAACGAGGCACGUGUGCCUUUUUGCAUGUACUUUAUGAAUAAGGAUCGGCUAACUCCGUGCCAGCAGCCGCGGUAAUACGGAGGAGCCGAGCGUUAUCCGGAUUUAUUGGGUUUAAAGGGAGCGUAGAUGGGUUGUUAAGUCAGUUGUGAAAGUUGUCGGCGCAAACGGAAAAUUGCAAUUGAUACUGGCAGUCUUGAGUACAGUUGAGGUAGGCGGAAUUCGUGGUGUAGCGGUGAAAUGCUUAGAUAUCACGAAGAACCCCGAUUGUGAAGGCAGCUUACUAAACUGUGACUGACAUUGAGGCUCGAAAGUGUGGGUAUCAAACAGGAUUAGAUACCCGAGUAGUC